RNAcentral lists this long non-coding RNA (1180 nucleotides) under Oreochromis niloticus (Nile tilapia). Its description in RNAcentral is "lncRNA (ENSONIG00000029021.1)". Lineage: Eukaryota; Metazoa; Chordata; Actinopteri; Cichliformes; Cichlidae. The record is from RNAcentral.
AUUACUCAUUUUAUUGCAUUUGUGUAAAAAUUCACUGGCUAGAAGCUUUUGUUCAGCGUGUAACGAGCAUUUGGUCCUGACAGUGUGAAAACACAGACGAUUUAAAAUGAUUAUAUGAUCACUUUAUCGAAACAUUGUUGGUGUAAUAAACGAGUUAAGCUGGAAAUAUGACUAUAAUCUCGUUACAGGUGUACAAAUACGUGUAAUAUAUUUAAACAAGCCCGCUGAUAUUCAUUCAUUGGGCACAAAGAGAUCUACACAAAUAGGUUUCACUAGCCUAUAAGAAAAAGCGACACUUUCACGACUAUUAAGUAAAAGAGGGUGAAUAAUAUGUAAAAAAAAAUUAUAUAUAUAUACAUGUAGAAAACUAAAAAAGAGAGAGAGAGACGGAGAGAAAGAGACUGGCUGAGUUGUAAAAUUACCAGUUUUCCUACUAAGUGACUAUGAGCCAGUAAAAUGUGAGUUAUCGAGAGUAAUUCUUACCUCACAACGAUAUAAACCACCUUCUCUCACACUUCAGGCAGCUCUCGGACGAAACGUGAACCAUUCCACAAACAGAGCUCCGGAUAAACAACGAGACAAAAGGGAAAAACUGCGGGCAACACGCGCGGGGUAACUUUUUCCUUUGACUUUCUACAAGUCUUGAGGCCGGGACCAGGCUGCAGCCGGUGUGUGUGCCUGUAAGCUCCGCCGGAAUGCAGAGCUGAGGGCUUCGGAACUCACAGGGGGAACUCCUCCUCCUCCUCCUCCCUCCUCCUCUCCUCGCCACCAUAACAAAUUGAUACCCACCUUAUUAACGUCACACCCGCGUCAGAGCUUCGAGCUGGGUGCAAGGCAAGGCCGGACCCGAGCGCAAGGAAAGGGUUGCUGGGCAACCGCGCGGCUCGGGCGCACGGUGACGCGAGUGCUGAUGGAGGGGUUGCUUGGAGAUGGGGACGGUGACGUCAGUCGUAAAGAUGUGUCACCACGUGAUGUUUCCCUCUGCCGGGCUCGUAGCUCGCGGGCUCUCUCCACAGAGCGGCUGCGCGCGCGGCUCCGACAGGAACAGAAACAGAAAGCAACUGGUGUUCGUCAGUCGCGCGGUCUCUGCUGCUCAUGGAGCACUUUAGACUCUGCUGGGCUCGGAAAGUACAAACACAGAGCCAAUAAGAACGCCACGCUGGAUCUCGGUGUAAGCUAA